CCAGGUCUCUUCUUCAGCCCUUGGACACAGUGUCAUCCCUAUUGGAGUCAAUAAAGGAGAACGGAAAGAGAGAUUCAAGACACACAAAGAGGAUAAACAUGGAGUUGAAGGCCAUGUGAAGAUGGAAGCAGAGACUGGAAUGAUGCAUCACCAUCAAGAAUUGCUGGCACCCACAAGAAGCUAGGAGAGAGGCGUGGGACAGAUUCUCCCUCUAAACCUCCAGAAGAAACCAACUCUGCUGACACUGUGAUUUCAGACUUCUGGUCCUCACAACUGUGAGAGAAUUCAUUUCUGUUGCUAUAAGCCACCAAAUUUGUGGUAACUUGUUCUGCAGCCUUAGGAAAUUAACACAUUUGGUGUGUUAAUUAGGUUGAUAAUUAGGUCAACUUCCCAUAAGUGAAAGCCUGUGGGAAUGUUGGGCUAAGAGACCUAUUUCUGAUUUCUGGCUCCACAACUUAUUAGUUUGUGGUCAUAAACAUUUAACCUCUGUGAACCUCAGUUUUCUUAUCUGUAGAAUGGGCUUCCUUGAAGGAGCCUUCUCCUGAAUCCAGUCUGUAAAAAACUUUUGUUCUCUAGGCAAACUUUCCCUUUAUC
RNAcentral lists this long non-coding RNA (594 nucleotides) under Homo sapiens (human). RNAcentral describes it as "HSALNT0316387". The record is from RNAcentral. Lineage: Eukaryota; Metazoa; Chordata; Mammalia; Primates; Hominidae.